GACUAGAAACCAUCUGUGAUUUUAAAAAAAAUAUGGAUUUGUACUUAAUAGUUUGUUUAUCUGACUGAAAUGAUUUUCAUUUGUCUUUGAACUUUUUUCAGCACUCAGACAGAGGGCGCCCUUGGACCAGUAAAAAGCGUCACUGUGAGGACGAAUAUGAACAAUAGAAGAGCAGUUAACUAUUUUUAAAGG
Molecule: long non-coding RNA, 192 nt
Filed under: Sarcophilus harrisii (Tasmanian devil)
Lineage: Eukaryota; Metazoa; Chordata; Mammalia; Dasyuromorphia; Dasyuridae
Description: lncRNA (ENSSHAG00000029742.1)
Source: RNAcentral